AUUGAACGCUGGCGGCAUGCCUUACACAUGCAAGUCGAACGGUAACAGGUCUUCGGAUGCUGACGAGUGGCGAACGGGUGAGUAAUACAUCGGAACGUGCCUAGUAGUGGGGGAUAACUACUCGAAAGAGUGGCUAAUACCGCAUGAGAUCUACGGAUGAAAGCAGGGGAUCGCAGGACCUUUUGCUAUUAGAGCGGCCGAUGGCAGAUUAGGUAGGUGGUGGGAUAAAAGCUUACCAAGCCGACGAUCUGUAGCUGGUCUGAGAGGACGAGCGGACACACUGGGACUGAGACACGGCCCAGACUCCUACGGGAGGCAGCAGUGGGGAAUUUUGGAAAAUGGGCGAAAGCCUGAUCCAGCAAUGCCGCGUGCAGGAUGAAGGCCGUCGGGUUGUAAACUGCUUUUGUACGGAACGAAAAGCCCCGGGUUAAUACCCUGGGGUCAUGACGGUACCGUAAGAAUAAGCACCGGCUAACUACGUGCCAGCCGCCGCAGUAA
RNAcentral lists this ribosomal RNA (498 nucleotides) under uncultured bacterium. Its description in RNAcentral is "partial 16S ribosomal RNA". It matches the Rfam family "Bacterial small subunit ribosomal RNA", at positions 30 to 523 of the family's 1533-position model. The record is from RNAcentral.